This is a long non-coding RNA of Ictalurus punctatus (channel catfish), 1843 nucleotides long. The record is from Ensembl. NCBI's taxonomy places the organism in Eukaryota, Metazoa, Chordata, Actinopteri, Siluriformes, Ictaluridae.
AAAUGUACAACAGGAGCGACAGGCAGCAACCUGGACACCAAUCGACAUCACUGAAACCCUGGAAAACGCGCUGGAUGGAACAGAACAAAAAGAGGAAAGCAGGAGCCAGCAAAGUACUGAAAAUGAAAGUGAGGAGGGGAAGAAAUGGACGACAAACUACUAAAAACAAUAAAAAGGAGGCGAUCAAUAAAGGUUUUUCCGAACUUGAUAACUACCAGGAAAAAAGUGAUCAAAAAAGACACGUUGAAGCAUGAGAACAGAUACGAGUGUCUGAAGGACUUGGAGGGGAUGGACUAAAAUGACCGGUAUGAUGUACAUCCUUCUUUGUUGCAUGGUUUUAAGAAUAGUAACAUUUAAUGCGAGAGGGCUUUUAAACAUAACCAAAUUUGAGAAAGUUAAAGAAAUGUGUAAAUCAGAAGACAUAGAAACAAUUAACCAAUUGGAGGGACGAUUUUAUAAGUGAAGUGAGGAAAAGAUGGAAUGGAGAAGUUUUCUAUAGCAAUGGUGAUGAUAAAUUUGGUAGAGGGGUAGCAAUACUGACAAAAAAAGGUAGAGACAUAAAUGUAAAAUAAUGUUUAAAAGACACGGUCGGGAAAUGCAUGGCGGUUGAAAUAGAGUAUGAGGAGAGGAAAGUGGUGGUGGUAAAUGUGCAUGCACCAACAGGGGAACAGGAGAAGACGGAGUAUCUUAAAUUUUUAAGGGAAUUUUGUAAAAAAGCACAGCAAGGUUAUAAUAAUGGGGGAUUUUAAUACGGUUUUUAGCUAAUUGGAUAUGGCUGAAGGGAUGGUUUUUAAAACGGGUACAGGGAGAAGGAGUUAAAAUUAUUAAUGGAAGACAGCAAUAUGAGACAUUUGGAGAGAGAGAAACGAAAAGAAGAAAGAAUGGUCAAGAAGGCAGAUGGUCGGGAAUUUUAUGUGUAGAACCAGAAUCGAUUUUAUCCUAUGCACUAGAAACAUAGAAGGUUUUAUGGAAGGGAUAAGGUACGAGGAAACAAGCUUAAGCGACCAUAAGCCCCUGUUCUUGCGCGUAGACUGGAGCGUAGUUAAAAGAGGACCAGGAGUAUGGGUUUUAAAUACAGAAAUUUUAAAAAUGAAGACUAUAUCGUAAAAAUAAAUGAUAAUUGAAAACGAAAAAGAAAACGGGAUUUUCACGGAAGACAAAAGAAUAUGGUGGGAAAACGUAAAACAUGAGGUCAAGAAAAUUUACAAUAAAAUAUUGCACGCGAAUACAGAAAAACAAAAGAUAAGAAGAGAGAAAUACGGGAACGGUGGGGAAAAAGAGCUAAAUAAGAAGGAAAAAAAUUAUACAAAAGUUAAAAGCAAUAGAAUAAGAAAUGCAAGAAAAAAAAAAAUAUCAAGGUGCAAGGUUACGAAGCAAAGCAAGGUAUAUGGUAGAGGGCGAAAAAUGUACAAAAUUCUUUUUUGACCUAGAAAAAAAGCAAAGGCAAAGCUGAAACAAUAAAAGGGAUUAAAGGGGAGAACCGGAAAAUAGUAGAAAAAAUUGAGCAAAUCUUGGAAGAAGUCAAAGCAUUUUAUGAAAAACUUUUUAGCGCAGAGGGGGUAGAUGAAGAAGAGAAGGGGUUUUUACUGAACCAAAUAGAAGCAAGGGUAGGAGAGGAAAGGAAAAAACAAUGUGACCAGGAAAUAAGGGAGGAGGAGAUAGAGAAAGCCAUAGCCCAAUUAAAUAAAAGGAAAAGCCCGGGGAUAGAUGGACGGGGGGGGGGGGGGGGGGGGGGGGGGGUUAAGUUUUACAUUGUUUUUAAGGAGGUUUUAACCAGCACCCUGAAAAAAAUGUACGAGGAGAUUUUUAAGAAUAGAGAGAUGAACCAGAGAAUGGGAAUGGG